RNAcentral lists this long non-coding RNA (727 nucleotides) under Ananas comosus (pineapple). Its description in RNAcentral is "long non-coding RNA (ACOM_LNC023007)". The record is from RNAcentral. Lineage: Eukaryota; Viridiplantae; Streptophyta; Magnoliopsida; Poales; Bromeliaceae.
AUUUUAUUGAAAAUAAUAAUAAUAAUAAUAAUAAUAAUAAUAAAGUAGUUCGAUAAUUUUUUAUUUAAAAAUUUAAGUCGUUAAAAAAAUAAUAUUUUAAUAUAUAUAUAUAUAUAUAUAUAUAUUAUAAGUUGAGUUGGAAUGCUAUCGAUAGCAAACGGGCUACAUUGUCACCUAUUUAUUUUCGAUGAUGAAGCCUCCAAAUCGACGAUCGGCACCGUUGAACAUAAUCUAUACCACUUAAAGUGUCUAAAAACCAAAUUUCAAAUCUUUUCGACAUUAUUAGCCUAAUGAUCAAAGGGUUUUGAAAAUUAUAAUUUUAAUGAUAAAUAUGAGGCAUUUUCUCGUUUAACGGUGUAAAACUAUCCAAAUCAAUUGAAUUUUCGUUAGAAAAUUCUUUAAACUAUUUAGAACAAGAUUUAUACUCUCGAUCUUGAUUAUAAAAUUUCUAUCAUCAUUUUUUUAAGAAUAUUUAUUUUCAGCCGUUCAUUUUUACACCCACUUGAUAGACAAGAGAAUAAUAUCGGAAAAGUAUAAAAUUUGAUUUCUAGAUACUUCAAGUGGUGAUAUCAUUUUCAACGAUACCGAUCGUUGAUUUGGAGCCUUCAUCAUCGAAAAUAAAUGGGUGGCAACGGAGACGGUUUGUUACCGAUAACAUUCCAGCUAAACUCUAUAUAUUAUAUUUAAUAUCCAAAAGUGUUACUAGCUGUAUGUAUGGUCAUCUAUU